UUCCACCACCACAAGGACAAGGAGGAAGACACCCCCGUCGAGAAAACUACCUAUGGUGAAACAACCUAUGGAGAUAGUGAAAAAACUAGCUCUGGUGGUGAUAAUACAUAUGGCGAAAAAACUAGUGCCUAUGGAGAUAAUACAUAUGGAGAAAAAACUAGCACCUAUGGAGAUAACACUACAUAUGGUGAGAAAACUAGUUAUGGUGAUAAUACAUAUGGUGAAAAAACUAGCACCUACGGAGGAGAUAACACGUAUGGAGGUGAGAAAACUAGUUAUAGUGAUAAUACAUAUGGCGAAAAACCUAGCACCUACGGAGGAGAUAACACGUAUGGAGGUGAGAAAACUAGCUAUGGUGGAGGAGAUACGUAUGGAGAUAACAAAUAUGGUGAGAAAACCAGCACCUAUGGUGAGAAUACAUAUGGAGAGAAAACUAGUUAUGGUGGAACUGAGGAAGGUGGCUAUGGUGGAGGAGCUGCUGCCUAUUCAUCUGAGACUACUAAUUAUGAAGACACCACUGAAACCAAAACUGCUGAGGAUUAUAAGGAAGAGAAAAAACACCACAAGCAUCUUGAACAUGUCGGAGAACUCGGUGCCGUUGCCGCUGGCGCCUUUGCUUUGGUAAAUAAUUUUCCUAACAAUUAAUACGCCUAUGAUAGUAUUUACUGUGUGAGCAAAAUAUCCUUAAGGACAUUACUUUUCUUGACACACCAUAACCUAAAUUCUAUGUAUUCUCCAUAUGUAGUAGUGAUUUUUGCAACAAAAAUUUGCAAGAUAUACUAAUCAUGCAUCUAAAAGAUCACUAGUACGUGUAAUUGCCUAUGAUAAGUGAAAUUAAUAAUUCAAGACAUGUAAUGGUGACCACAUUUUUAAUUACUUUAAUACGGCCGGGUCUAACUUUUCCUUUUGAUGAUCACUUAAUUUCUUCCAUUAAUCUUUUUGGUGUGAAUGAAUGUUUCAGCAUGAGAAGCACAAGAUAGAGAAGGACCCAGAGAACGCACACAGGCACAAGAUAGAGGAAGGAAUAGCAGCAGCAGCCGCAAUUGGGUCAGGUGGAUUUGCAUUCCAUGAGCAUCAUGAGAAAAAGGAAGCAAAGGAAGAACAAGAGGAAGCUGAGGGAAAGAAGAAACAUCAUUUCUUCUAAUUUUCUCUCAUCAUAGCAUUUCUUUUCUUCCAAAAUAUAUGAUGUUAUGAGCUUUGUGUGCUUGCUCUAUCCUUGUUUGUUAUAUUGAGCACCUAAAUAAUGUGUAUGUGCGUUACAGUCUUGUGUUUGAUCAUGUAAGCGUUACUGGUAAAUUUGCCGUUUUAAGUCAUGUACAUGCAUGUUCUGCACUUUGGAGUGCGAAUAAAAUUAUACCUGUUAUAAAUAUAUUAUACUUUACUAUACAUAGUGAAUGUCUACUUUAUCAUAUAUAGUGAAUAUCUAUUCAUGAAAAAGUUAGAAACCCAAGGUGAGUUUUCCCUAUAAAUAAAAGGAUUUUCCCUUCAUUGUAAUAAAACUCCUCAGGGAUCCCAUGAGAAAUAAAGAAGUCUCCUCUCUUCUCUUUUCAUUCUUCUUCUUCUUUGCUUUAUAUUUCAUAAUACAUUAUUAGCACGAGACUGCCAAACAAGGUGAGAUUAUAAAUCUAAAGGCAAUUUUAAGGUUAGUAAUUCCUUUUGUAAUUUGUCUUUUGCUACUAAUGAUAUAAUUAUUGUUGGAUUUGAAAAACAAAAGUGAUUUGGAAUCACUUAUGCUUUAAAAAAUAUGAUGAUUAAUUUAAGUCUCAUCUCAUUAAGAGGGUAAGACAUUGGGUUAAAAGUUUCAAUGCACCAUGAUGAUAAGAUGUUGGUUCAAUUCCCACUGAGUUAUGCCUAAGAUGUAUUUAUAUGUAUAAGAAGUUGAGUUUGAAUCUCAAUGCACCAUAUUAAUGAUAUUAUGAUGGCUAAGGCAAAAAUAAUAUGCAUUUGAUGAAAAUUCAUGAAACUUGUCCAUUGAAUAUGCUUCAUUCCAUGAAGUGAAUGUGAUAGCAAUAUAUGAUAUACUUUGAAAGAUAUAUAUGCCUCGAUGUGCUCCUGAUGUAGCAAUAUCAUGAAAGAGGUUACAAGCUAUUGGAAUUUGAUAGACUUAAGGCACGAUUGUAUUCCAUUCCUGGGGAAUGAGAAGUUUAUUAAUACAAACGUGCACUUGAUUAUAUGAUGGUAUCACAACUCACCUCCAAAAAAGGCUGAAUGAUUGAGAAGAGUUAUUUUGAAAUCUACUUCUAAAGUAGUAAAUUUGAAAUUUAUUCAUGUAAUAGUAAAUCUAAGAUUUAUUAAAGAAAAAAAUAAUACAUGUCAUGGUAAACUUAUGUUUACUACUAUAAAUGCAUUCAUAAGGUUAUAUGAACGAUUGUGACAUCUUGAAGAUGUGCAUAUCUAGUAUUAGACAUGCAUUGAAGAACUAGAAGAUUCUUCACGAAUUAUUUAUGUCACUUGUUCUCAUGAUAAGUUGGUUGGACCAACUAAUAUUGGGAUUAGAUCCCUUAAAAUCUGAAAAGUAUAAAAGGUGAAUAAGGGCCCGUUCUCCUAUCACGUGAUAUGUUGAAAAGAUGCAUCAAUAAGAUGAUUACAUGUACAUUUUUUGUCAACCUGCAGUUUGACAUUCAUAAAGUUGCUUGCUCAAUAAAAUUGAGUUAAGAGCAGAACUUUCAGAUUGUGUAAUCAAGGUAAUUCAUCUUGAUAAUGCUAAUUAAGUUGGUGUUAAAUGCCUUCGAUAAAUAGUUGAAUCAUUGCUUAUGAGAACAAAGACACAUGUGUUGGUCUGAAGUAUGAUAUAUUGCAUAUAAUAACACUUGUUUGCAUUAGACCAAAAAUUAUUAUUAAUACUUCCCUCUCAAUUGGUUCAAGGUCAGGAAUCAAUUAUUCUAUCUAGUAGUUUUGAUGUGUGGUAUUUGAUAAAUGAAUAUAUCAUAAUGCAUAAAGAUGGAUUCCUCAAAGAAGAUAGAUGAUAUAUGUUAGUUUUUCUAACAUAAGGGGGAGAUUAUAAACAACUAUGAAAUAUGUUAGAAAUUAUCAUCAAAUCCUUAUUCAAAAGACAAUUCAAGUCAAAUGUCGAAAGCAUAUCAUAUUAAGCUGCAAGUGCUCUUAUUUUGUGUUCCUAAAGGAUAAAGUCUAUGCAUGCGUGAAACGUGGUAGACCAAUUGGUUCCUAAUGAAAUAAUCCUUGAAAAGGAUAAGGAGAAAAUGAUCAUAAUAAGAAGGCAAUAUGAUCUUGAAGAGCCUACGACAUAACACUUCAUGAAACCUUAUGAGAAGUUCAGGUACCUGAAAAUAAUGAAGUGAUGAGAUCUCAAAAUUUAUGUCGCAUUGUGAAUUGAUAUAAAAUGAUAUAUCAUUAUUAAUAUUUUUGAUAAAAUAUUAGCCUAAUAUUAAAAAAGAUUACGAGGAUUUGAAUUCUGUGUUUAUUGAAGCAUGCUGAUGUAAAAAAUAUCUAUUAAGUGGCAUGAAAGGAUGCAUCUUGAUUAGCAUAAAAACUUAUUUGAUUUACAGCUCAGACACUUGAAAAUGUCACACAUGAUAUGUUGACUAUUGUCACUUGACAAAAUUUAUAUGAAAAGUUUGAGGAUUCAAAAUGUUUUUGAAGCAUAUAAAAGUUUCUGGGAAACUUAUUUAUAUAUAAUCCUUAUAUAAAAAUUGUUGGAACUCUUGGAGAGUUUUCAAAGCAAUAAAUUAUUUGCUGAAAUGAGAAAUAUACCAAUUUGAAUUGGUUAUAAAGUACCAUAUCUUAGUGCAAUUAGUGCACUCAUGUAUCUUGCAAAUAAUACAAGAUCCGAUAUAACCUUUUUGGUCAAUUUGUUAGCAAGGUAUAGUUCUGCUCCUACUGGGAGACAUUAAAAUUGGAUAAAACACAUGCUCUUAUUUUAUUCUAAAGAUUGCAGUCCUGAUCUUCUUGAUUAUGCUGAUGCUGGGUAUUUAUUUAGUCCGCAUAAAUAUCGGUCUCAAAUAAGCUAUAUGUUCACAUGUGGGGAUACUGUUAUAUCUUGGAGAUAUUCAAAGUAGUCUUUGUAGCCACUUUAUCAAAUCAUGCUGAGAUAAUAGCUAUUAAUGAAGCAAGUCGAGAAUGAGUAUGGUUGAGAUUCAUGAUACAUCUCAUUUGAGAAAAAUAUGGUGUUAAAUGUGAUAAUGUACCCAUAAUUUUAUACGGAGAUAAUGCAGCAUGUAUAGCACAACUUAAGGAAGGAUUCAUAAAAGGAGGUAGAACGAAACACACUUUAUCAAAGCUUUUAUACAUACACGAGAUGCAACAGAAUGAUGAUAUGUAACACCCCACAUUUUGAACUAGAAUGAAAAUUCGUCAUUCAUAUGCGUAGAUGUUCCAAAGCCUUGAAUCCUAUGUAAAUUUGGUGUGUUAAUCAAUUAUGUAGUGUAGGAAUCUAUUUGAGCAUGAAUUAAGAUCAUAUAGGUCCCCUAACUCAAGGACAAGUUGAAAGCUUUCCUAUCGUUCAAGUUUUAGUGAGCGUCAAAACUUGGGUUAGCUUAAAUCAACCAUAACUUCUUGUGUAUAUCUAAUUAGAGGACCUACUAUAUAUCAAAUAAAAUAUCUUUAUAUUAUAUUUCCAACGAUACCAAUUUCGAUAAAAUCCGACAUCGGAGCAAAGAGUUAUGCCCAUUUUACUCUAGUAUGUUAGCCUAGAAAACUGACUAACGACAUUUUGUGAUAAGUUAUCACAAGUGUGACGAUUUAUCACAAAUGUCAUCAGCCUUAGGGAGAAAUCCACCUCAAUGAAGACAUUUUGUGAUAAGUUAUCACAAGUGUGAUGACUUAUCACAAAUGUCAUUAGCCUUAGGCAGAAAUCCAUCAAUUCCAGCCCCCUAGUGACGAUAUUUGUGACAACUUAUCACAAGUCUGACGGCUUAUCACAAAUGUCGUCAGCCUUAGAUUUUCAGUAAUUGGAAAAUGGUUUAGUAAGGGUAUUUUGGUAUUUUCCUUCACCUCCCAAGACUUAUAAACCUCAAGGUACGUAACUUUCUCCUAUUUUUCUUCAGUUAAACAUCUCAAAAAUCCUCUCUUACACUUUCAACCACAAGAUUAGGGUUUUUAUUAAAAUCAUCUCCCAAAAGAAAAAUUCAAGCCCUUUUUCCAAGAUAAUCAAGAAUUAAGUUUCUCAAUCCAAGAACUCUCUAGAAACUCAUCAAAGUUUCCUUUCUAAGGUAUGUGUAGUGUUCAUCUAUGGAUCCUUUUUAUCCAUGGAGCUUAAGAAUCAUGUUUUAAAUUAUAUAUUAUGAUUUUCAUGUUGUGUUAUGACUAUAUUCAUAUUGAUGAUUGUUGUUUGGAUUCAAGGUUGUAUCUUGAUGUGUUUUUCAUAAAGCAUGUGAGUAGGUUAGUUGAAACUCAUGAAUUUUGGAUGGAUUAGGAUUGUCAAAUUGAGAAGUACACCUAUGCCCAAAGUUGUGCAUAUAAGGUGUUUGAUAAAAUGCCAAGAAUGAUAGAAUCCAUGUUUUUAUGACUUAAUAGUGCUUAAAUUACAGGUCCAUGUUCUAUUCCUUAUGUUUCCACAUGAAGUCCAUGUUAUUGAUAUGUGUUGUUGUUAUGAGUUGUUAUUAUGAUAUGAAAUGUCCAUGAUAUUGAGGUAUGCAAGUAUACCCAUGUUAUAUGUAUUCCCUUUCAUAUAUAAGGUGUUGAGAAUCAUAUGUAGUAUGAAAUCCCCUACUUAAUAUUUUGAAUUGUGGAUGUUAUUCCUAUGAUCAAGAAGUAUCAUGUGUGUCAGCUUUCUUCCAUCGAGUCCUAGGGGGUACUUGUACCCAAAAAAUAUAACUGUGUACCUAGAGCUGAGUUAGUCUCAAGAUAAUCUCAGUCGUGCUAUGAUCAGUAGAGCUCAAUCAGUUAUAGAAUUCAAAACUCUCAGAGAGUUAUACAAUUUAAGAAAUCUCAGUAAUCUAAGUAUCGUUAUCAUUCUAUCUCCAGUUCAGUACUCAGCUCAUAUCUCAGUAGCAUUCAAGAAGUCAAUUCAGAACUUAGUAUCAUUCAGUCAGAUAGUAGAAUUCAGACGUAUUCCGUCAGAUAACGAAAUCAAGUGAACUCAGCCAGAUCAAUCAAGUAAGAUAAUUAGUAACAAUAUUCAGUUCAGUCUAAGUUCAGUUAAGGAUCAGUUUAAAGUCUUUCAGUUGGGAGUAGGAACUAGCACCGAGCGAGUGCAGGAUGGCGGGUUUCCCCGUUAGAGAGGCGAAGUCAUUAGCAACAAUACCUGUACUCCAGAACUAUAUAGCCAGUGCAGGAUGAGGAGUCGCCCAUCGGAUAAAGGCUUGACUACCUGCAGGAGUCUAUAUAGCCUUAGGCUGACUUUCUCUUGAGGGUCACCUGUUAGAGAGGCUUGACCAGAGGGGUCUUUACCUGUGGCUUGGUAUUGACAACCUUCCAGCUGGGGUUAUAGGUUGGACCCCACUAGUUUAGACUCGGGGCAUAUCGGUUAAGUGAGAACUCCCACAGUUAUAGUUUUAGUAUCAGUCUUCAGAGUAGAACUCAAAAAUCAGGACUGUCAGAUACAAUCAUUAAUCUUAGUAGGAAACUCGGAUAGUUCCAAAGAUUCAUAGACCACCCGCUAGAUAGGCUUGGUAUAACAUAAAGUUAUUCAGUAUUAAUUCUUAUAGAGGUCACCCAUCAGAUAGGCUUGAUCUCAGUCUCAGAUUCAGUUGAGUAUUCUCAAUAUCAGUUCCAGAGAUUACCCAUUAGUUAGGCCUGAUCUCAAGCUUAGUCACUCUUAAUCAUUAUUAGAAGAUUUGUACUAUCAGAUACAGCCGCUCAGUAUCAGUUAUAUUUGUUAGGCCGAUCAUCACAAUUAUAUCAGUUAGAUCAGUCAUCAUAGCUUACGUUAUCAGUAUUCAGUUUCAGGAUUGUUAGACACAGUCAAUCAGACCAGUUCUUCAUAAUGCGAACUAUUAGAAAUAGUCAUUCAUCUAUUCAGUAUCUCAGUAUCAGUAAACUCAUGUUGUCAGCAUUCCGACUCAGUAGUCAGUAUCACCACGAGUUUAGUUAUAGUUACUUAUACAUGUAUGUAUUCUCACGUUUAUAUUGGUCAGCAUUGUUCAUGCAUAUAAACCCUUUGCAUUUAGCCUACCUCACUCGUAUACUCAGUAUAUUUAGACGUAUUGACACAUUCGCGCUAUGGUGUUUUAUUUUAUGUCAUAGGUUUAGAGGCACGAGUUCCAAAGCAAUAGUAGUAUUAUAGAUUUCAACAGUCAGAGUUAGAAGUGAUUCCUUAUCCUUCGAGGACAUGAUUAUUUCUCUAUCUUCUCAUUGAUUAGUUCAUUAGUCGGAGUUAUUUGGGGACAUGUCCCAUCAGCUCCUUAUUCAGAUUAUUUAGACAGUAAAGGCUUUCAGACUAGAUAUAGUUUAGAUUAUAGACUAGAUUCAGACUUCAGUAUUUCGGUUUUGUUUUGGUAGUAUGAUACCACUUUAUUUAGACAGUGUUAUUAUUCAGAUUAUGUUUAGUAUUGAACCUUAUGGCCUUUCAGUUUAUAUUUCCGUAUUUAUAUUCAUAUAUUAUGCAGUGUACAUGUAUAGAUAUCAGUCAUGGUUUAGCUUGUGGUCCCUCGGGGUCAUGAGCAUUGUAUAGCUUUUCGGUUAAAAAAAUCGGGGUGUUACAUGAUAUUAAUGUGCAUCAGAUUCGUUCAAGUGACAAUGUGGCUGAUUUUUUCACCAAAUCUCCUUCAAUUUCAAGUUUCAAGAAAAUGGUUCACAAGAUCAGGAUGCAAAACCUUAAGGAUAUUCUUAUUAGGGGGAGCUAAUACGUGCUGUACUCUUUUUCCCUUACAAGGAUUUGUCCCUCUGGGUUUUUCUUGUAAGAUUUUUAAUGAGGCAGCCUAUAUGCGUAUUGUUAGAAAUGUGUACGCUUUUUUCUUCAAUAGAUUUUUUUCCUACAGGGUUUUUUCUAGUAAGGUUUUAACGAGGCACAUUGUCUAUUAAUUAGACAUUCAAGGGGGAGUGUUAUAAAUAUAUUACCAUAAAUAGUGAAUGUCUACUUUACCAUACAUAGUGAAUGUCUACUUUAUCAUAUAUAGUGAAUAUCUCUUUAUAGAAAAGUUAGAAACCCCAAGGUUAGUUUUUCCCUAUCAAUAAAGGAGUUUUCCCAUCAUUGUAAUAAAACUCUUCAAGAAUCCCCAUGAGAAAUAAAGAAGUCUCCUCUCUUCUAUCUCUAUUCUUCUUGUGUUUAAUUUAUAUUUCAUAACAAUACCUACAUUUUAAUACAAUGUUGUUUAUAUUAAUAUUUGUUUCAAUUACUCAUUUAUAAAAGAAAAAGUGAAAUUUCUAUCUUUUAAGCAAGUAAACAUUGCAAAAAAGCAUUUUUCUCUUGUUCCAUUUAUCCUUUGCGCAAAUGAUUUCUGUAAAUAGUGGAGUGGGAUGUACAUUACGUUGGGAAUUAUUUGAUUCAAUUUAUGUGGCAUAUUUUACUUUUUUAAGUUCAAAUAAGAUAAGUUUGACCAUGUAUUUGAAUAUGAAAUCUUCAAUUAUUUGAAAUAAAAUUUAUAUAUUUGAAACUAUGUACUAUAUUGACGAUUCAAAAUAUUUGAAACACAUAAGAACAUACGGUCAAAUAUAGAUAUGUUUAAAUUUUUAAAAACAAAAAGUGACAUAUAAACUAAAACAAAAGAAACAAAAAUAAUUAAAAAAGGACUGACAUUGUCUAAAAAUAAAUUAUAUGUAAUACCCCGUAUUUUCUUAGCUCAUUUUAAUUCUCAGUACAUGAGUUAUUCAAUAUAAAAUUUUUGAAGUGCUCAAUAUUUUUCAGGGAGCAUACCAAUGCGUAGGAAAUUCAGCCAGCUUUUUGACGAUAUAAAAUUCGCCCAAAUCCGAUACCCGAGCAAAGAGUUAGAGCAAUUUUAGUAAAGCAGUGUGCCAACUGGCACUUCAGCGCAUUGCGGAGCUAGGAAAAAUGGCAAUUUUCAAAUCCAGUGAGCCUCCCCAAUCAUGGCGUGUUGCGCCAAGCAAAAUUUUAAGAAUUGUCCUUUUCCAGUGUUCCAACGCGAUCCCACCGUAUCACGAUGAACCCCAAAUUCGUAUUCAGUAUAACUUUACGAAUUCACCGCGUCGCGCCACCAACCACAUUCCCAGUUGUCAAUUUCCAGUGACACGGUGCAAUAGCGCCGCGUCGCGCCAAGGGCCCAGUUCAAAAAAAUUUGAUGAAAAUUAAAACUUUCAUCCAGGGUUAAAUUAGUCUUUUCCCAUGAUUUUUAUAUGCUCAGAUAUAAGAUUUAAUCCCUAAAAAUAUUUUAAAGUCAUUCUUUAAUCAAUUUUACCCAAAUUAAAGUCAUUCUCUCUCAAAGGGAAAAAUCCAAACUUCAAGAAAACAAGAGCAAAACUCAAGAAAUUCCUCCAAGAACUCCAAGAGCUUAUCGAUCCAAGUAUGUUUGGUGUUCAUCUAUGGGUACCUUUCACCCAUAGAGUCCAAGAAUCCCUUUUUAAAAACUAUAAUUUUAUGGAAUUGUGAAUUCCCAUAUUUGAAAUUGAUUGUAUGCAUAUCUAUAAUGUUAAUUAGGUUUUCAAUCCAUGAUUAUUAUAAGAUUCAUGAAAUUUAAAAUAGUUUAUGUGAUGAAUUAUGUGAAUUUCAUGCUAAACCAUUGAAUUUGCAAUUUAGUAUUGUAUUCAUGAUAUCAUGUAUUGACCAUUAUCAUGUGAAAUAAUCCAUGCUCCCCAAGUGUUUGCUAAAAUGCCUAUGUGAAGUAGAUAGCGGAAUCAUGACAUGUCAUUGUAUGGUCCCAAUAAUGUACAAGCCUUUACGCUACAAGUGUUUGAUAAAAUAUCUCUAUGAAUGAAUUAUGGACAAGUAUACAUUGUUAGGUCUCUCAAGAUCAUGCUAUGCUUUAUUUCAUGCUAUCGAUUUUUGGGGGUAUUUAAUACCCGACAAGCUAGCUGUUUACCUAGAUCCAGUGUUAGUUACAGAAUAGUAUUAUUCAUGUCACGAUCAGUAGAACUCAGUUAGUUAUAGAACUCAGUAAACUUAGUCAGUUAUAGAACUCAGUAACAACUUAGUAUCAGUCUAGUCCAGUGCAGUAUAAUCAGUCCAGUAUCUAUUCAGUUGGGAGUAGGAUUCAGCACCGAAUGAACCAAGGAUGGGGAAUCACUUACUAGUAGAGGGUGUGAUCCUUAGAAGUAGUCCUUGUAUUCCAGAACUGCGUAGCCAGCGUAGCUUGAGAUAUCAAACCUGCUAGUUGAGGAUUGAUGACGUAUUUUUAACCUGCCAGAUUAGGGUUCCUCUAUUCUCAUUAGAGUACCUACUAGAUGAGGGUAUCUCUUUAGCUUGUCUUUACCCAUGGCACGGUACAGACACCCUUCCUAUUGGGGUUACAGAUUAGAUCUCAACUCAGUUAUCUUAUUUGGGGCAUGUCGAUUAGAUGAUUACCUCCCACAGUUUCAGUUUUAGUCUUCAGUAUAGAACUCAAUUCAGUUCUACGGAAUCAGAAUUGUCAAACACAGUCAAAUAGUAUCUGUAACUCAAUUAUCAGUAAUCUUAGUUUAACAAUUACUCAGUAUCAGAAUUUAAUGCUUAGCUUCAGAUAAGCUCAGUUACAGUACUCAUACAUGUAUAUCCAUAGUAUUGCUUACUCAGUAUUUACAGUAACUCCAGUUAUUCAUGUACUUUCAUAUUCAGUUAAUCUAUAUCAUUUCAGUCAGUUAUUGUUCAUACAUAUGAACCCUUGCAUUCAACCUUACCUCAUCAGCAUACCAGUACAUUACACGUACUGACACAUAUUUUCUCUUUGUGCUAUGAUGUCUUAUAUCAUAGGUUCGGAUGCUUAGGUGCUUGAUCUGCAUAGAUAGAUUCAGAUUCAGUCAGUAGUAUCAACUUUUGUGCUUUUAUUUUAGUAUUUUCAGUAGCUUUAGUAUUUCAGUAGUCAAAGUUAGUUGGGGGCUUGUCCCAUCAAGUCCAUUUUCAGAUAGUUCAGUUAGAGGCUUUUCAGACUAGACUUUCAGACAACAUUUAGUUUUAUAGAUUAUUAUUACAAUUGUUAUUAUUUCUCAAAUUCUUAUAUUUUGAACCUUAUGGAAUUUCAGCCUAUUUUUUGCAUUAGUAUUACUAUUCAGUGCUCACAGUAGAUAUCGGUCAUGGGUUAGCUUAUAGUCCUUCGGGAUCGUAAGCAUCGUGUAGCAUCCAGGGUACAGACUCGGGGCGUUACAAACUUGGUAUCAGAGCUUAAGGUUAAAUAGAGUCCUAGGAAGUCUGUAAGCUGUAUUGCAUAAAGUCUUGUGCAUAGGUAUGGAGCACAUCACAUUUAUGGAUAGGAGGUAUGAGAUGUUUUAGGAAAAAUUUCCCUUCUUUCAGUAUUCAUGUCAUGCGAAUGAGCAUGAUCUUAAGAUAAACUCCCAGUCUAAUCCUUUUCUUCCUUUUGUUACAGAAUAUGCCUCUAAAAAAGACUAACAAAAGAAUAAUCGAAAAUCAGGCAGCACCUCAGCCCGUUAAGGCAGAUCCCCUGGACAAAAAUGUCUCUCAUGCAGAAUUCGGAGCUGCAUUUACUUCUCUAGAAAAUUUUGUCACAGCUUAGAAUGAAUGACCAGCUGCUGUUCAUGACAACCCAGUGGCUAAUACUACUGCUGUCAAGAUUUAAGACUUGACCCAAAUGAAUCCUCCCCUAUUCUUAGGAUCUAAGUCAGAAGAGAAUCCACAGGAGUUCCUCGAUCAGGUUCAGAAGGUCAUAGACAUUAUGGGAGUGACAUCCAAUGAGAGUGCUAAGUUAGCUGCCUAUCAGCUAUAAGAUAUAACUCAUACAUAGUGAAAGGUAGACAGGGGUUCAAAUGUAGAGCCCAUAGAAUAAGAAGAGUUUUCUACUACCUUCCUAGAUAGAUUCUUUCCCUUAGAGCUGAGAGAAGCCAAGGUAUUAGAGUUUAUCAAUCUUAGGCAAGGCAAUAUGAGUGUGAAAGAGUAUUCCCUCAAGUUUACUCAGUUAGCCAGAUAUGUUCCUCAUGUAGUAGCAGGCAGUAGGUUCAGAAUAAGCAAGUUCAUAUAUGGGGUAUCAGAUAGUGUGGUUAAGAAGUGCAGAACUGCCAUGUUGAUUAAGAAGAUGAACAUAUCCAGGCUUAUAGUCCAUGCUCAGCAGAUAGAAAAGGCUAAGAAUAAGGGGAGAGAGAGGCAGAAUAAGAGAGCUAGAACUGGUAGCUUCAACUUUAGUCAUCCUAAGUCAGAGGGCGAUAACCGUUCCUAGUAUCAUCCAAAAUCUUCUGUUCUAGCUUCGCCCUCAGCCAGUGCUCCAGUACCUAAGUUCAGAAAUGAUAACAAAGAUAUGGCGCCAGGCUCUAAAUCUCAGGGUAGUGUCAGCAGUGCUCGAAUAAAUCCUCUUUGCCAGAAAUAUGGUAGGAACUAUCAGGGUGUCUGUAGAGAUGGCAAUGAUGUUUGUUUUGGGUAUGGCAAACCAAGACAUAGAUUUAGAGAUUGUCCUCAUUCAGGUUCUCAGGGUCAGUGUAAUCGUCCUUCAGCUUAGUUCGGUCACCCGAAUUAGCAGGGUGCGGCUUCUAGUGCCUCUAGUGGGCAAUGCUCAAACAGGCUUUAUGUACUUCAGUCCAUACAAGAUCAGGAAAGUUCUCUUGAUGUGGUCACUGGUAUAUUACAGGUUUUCCAUUUACAUGUUUAUGCCUUAUUAGAUCCAGGAGCUUCUUUAACUUUUCUAAUUCCUUACAUAACAAUCAAUUUUAAAGGCAAACAAAAAAUCUUAGCAGAACUAUUUUCAGUCUUUACCCUAGUGCGUCAGUCUAUCAUAGCUCAAUGGGCAUACAAGAACUGUCUGGUUAUGAUAUCUCAGAAAGUCACAUCAACAGACUUAGUAGAAUUAGAGAUAACAGAUUUCAACAUCAUUCUCAAUAUAGAUUGGCUCCAUUCAGGCUAUGCCUCAGUUGAUUGUAGAAAUAGAAUUGUUCUAUUUUAGUUUCCAAAAGAACCAGUCCUUAAAUAGAGGGGUAGUACUACAACGCUUAAGGGUCAGUUGAUUUCAUACCUUAUAGUGAGAAAAAUGAUAUCUAAGGGACGUGUCUAUCAUCUUGUACGAUUCAAAAACUCUAGUUCAGAGACUCUCAGUCUUGAGUUUGUUCCAGUAGUUAAUGAAUUCUCAGAUGUGUUUCCUGAAGAUCUUCCUGGAGUUCCUCCCAAAAGAGAAAUUAACUUUAGAAUAGAACUUCUUCUAGAUACUCAACCCAUCUCUUUUUCGCCAUACAGAAUGGCUCCAUCUAAACUCAAAGAGUUAAAAGAACACUUAAAUGAUCUCUUAGAUAAGGGAUUCAUCAGACCUAACAUUUCCUCGUGGGGCGUACGAGUCCUAUUCAUGUGUAAGAAAGACAGUUCCCACAUAAUAUGUAUAGACUAUCGUUAAUUGAACAAAGUCAUAAUUAAGAAUAAAUACCUACUUUCCAGAAUCAAUGACUUGUUUUACAAACUUCAGGUUGUCAAUUUAUUUUCUAAGAUGGAUCUCAGAGCAGGCUAUCAUCAGCUCAGAGUCAGGGAAUACGACAUUCUAAAAAUAGCUUUCUGAACCUAGUAUGGUCACUUCGAGUUUCUAGUUAUGUCCUUUGGUCUUACAAAUGCCCCAACAACUUUCAUGGACUUAAUAAAUCGCGUGUUGAAAUAAUACUUAGACAUCUUCGUUAUAGUCUUCAUCGAUGACAUCCUUGUCUAUUCCCAUAGCGAGAAUGAUCCUGCAAAUCACCUCAGAAUCAUACUCUAGACUUUCAGAACUUAUUAGUUGUUUUUCGAAUUCAGUAAGUACAAAUUUUGGAAAAGGUUAGUAGCAUUUCUUGGUCAUAUUUUUUUUGGUGAUGGCAUUAGAUUUGAUUCUCAAAAGACCGAGGAAGUGAGAAACUAGCCUAGACCCAUCUUUCUAUCAGAUAUUAGGAGUUUCUUUGGUUUGGCUGGCUAUUACCAUUGGUUUGCUGAAGGAUUUUCAUCUAUUGCAUCCCCCAAGUCCAGAUAGACUUAUAAGAAAGUCAAGUUUCAUUGGCUAGAUUCCUAUAAAAAGAGUUUCAAGAGUUGAAGACUCGACUCACCUCAGCCCCAGUUUUGACUCUACCAGAUGGUUCAGAUGGGUUUAUUGUGUACUGUGAUGCAUCCAGAGUAGGUUUGGAUUGUGUCCUCAUGCAGAGAGGUAAGGUCAUAGCCUAUGCUUCUAGAUAUCUUAAGCCCCAUAAGAAUAAUUACCCUAGUCAUAAUCUUGAGUUAGUAGCUAGUGUUUUCCUUAAAGAUUUGGGGGCAUUAUUUGUAUGGGGUGUAUGUUUAGGUGUUCAUAGAUCACAAAAUCUUGCAGUAUGUAUUCUCUCAGAAAUAUUUAAACCUAUGUCAGAGAUGGUGGUUAGAGUUGUUGAAAGAUUAUGACAUGAGUGUUCUGUAUCAUUCGGGCAAGGCCAAAGUAGUAACAAAUGCUUUCAGUAGGUUGUCUAUGGGUAGUGUUGUUCAUGUUGAGAAUGAUAAGAAGAAGUUAGUUCAGGAAGUUCAUCAUCUUGCUCGACUAGGUAUCCUCUUAUUCGAUUCAGCAGAGGUUAGUGUAUGGGUUCAGAACAGUUCAAAAUCAUCUCCAAUUUGCUAGGUAAAGGAAAAGUAGGAUAGAGAUCCCAGUCUAGUUAAGUUGAAAGAGUCAGUUAGAGAUCAAAAAGUAGAGGUUUUCUCCCAAGGGAGAGAUGGUGUGUUGCGCUUCUAGGGUCGGUUAUGCAUGCCAGGUAUAGACGACUUGAGGUAAUGAAUUCUUGUAGAACUGCAUGGUGCACGUUACUUUAUUCAUCCAGGGGCCACUAAGAUGUACUUUAAUUUGCGGGAGAUAUAUUGGUGGAAUGGGAUGAAGAGAGACAUUACUGAGUUUAUAGCUAUGUGCUCUAUGUGUCAGUAGGUUAAGAUUGAGCACUAAAAGCCUAAUGGGUCCAUGCAAGAGUUCAGUAUUCCCACAUUGAAGUGGGAAGAAGUGAACAUAGACUUUGUGAUGAGUUUUUCUCAUACUGGUCAUCAGCAUGACUCUAUUUGGGUCAUUAUAGAUAGGAUGACGAAAUCAACUUAUUUCUUACCAGUUCAUACCUUAUAUUUAGCUGAGGACUGCACCAAACUCUAUAUCAGAGAGUUGGUCAGGUUGCACAGAGUCCCAGUGUCUAUCAUCUCAGAUAGAGGUACCUAGUUUACCUCUCUUUUCUGGAAAGUAUUCCAAAAGGGUCUUAGUACCCAUGUUUACCUCAGUACAACCUUUCAACCUCAGACCAAUGGUCACCUAUUCCUUAAAAAAUGUAUGCAAGGUGUUUGAUAAAAUGCUUAGGAUGCUAGAAAUUCAUGUUUGUAUGGUUCUAUGAUGUCUAAAUGACAAGUCCAUGUUAGCUAUAUACUUCAAUAUGAAUUCAUGCUUUUCAUGUGUUGCUAUUGUGGUGGUAUGAAGCAUGUAAGAUAAAGGAGAUAUACAAUAUGUACCUGAAAUAUAUCCAUGUAUUCCCUACAAUGUUUAAGAUGUUGAAUAACUAUAUGUAAUAUGAUAUCCCCUACUUAUGAUAUUAUGAAUUGUGGACUCAAAUCUUGUGAUCAAGUCAUGUCAUGUGUGUCAGUUUCCUUCUAUCGAGUCCUGGGGGUAUUUGUACCCGAAAAACAUAGCUGUGUGCCUAGAGCUAUGUCACGUUGUUACGAUAAUCUUAGUCAAGCUAUAAUCUAUAGAACUCAGUCAGUCAUAUGACUCAAGAAACCUAAAAAAUCUUAUGAUCUUAGUUAACUCUCAGAUAAUAGUACUACUCCAUCAGUCAACGGAAGUCAGUUAGUCUGUCCAUGUACAUUCAGUUGAAUCAUGUUUAAUCUCUUCAGAUGGGAGUAGAAGUUAGCACCGAGUGAACCCAAGGAUAGGAACUCACCUACUAGUUUAGGGUGUGAUUCUUAGCAGUCAUCCUAGUGUUCCAGAACUACGUAGCCAGUGUAGGUUGAGACAUCUUAGCCUGUCAGAUUAGGGUUGAUGAGGUGGCUUAACCUGUCACUUUAGGGUUCCCAUCAUUCUCCUUUCGAAUACCUGCUAGCUAAGGGUCACCCACAACUGUCCUUACCAGUGGUGUGGUAUUGACACCCCUCCAGUCGGGGCAGAGAUUGGACCCUAACUUAACUAUAUGUGUUAUUGGGGCAUGUCGAUUAAACAACUACCUCCCAUAGUUUCAGAAUCAAUCUCAGUAAAAGAACUCAGAUAGGUUUUCAGAUUUCAGUAUAUCAGGACUGUUCGAUAUAGUCAGACUCAGUUACAGUACGAAACUCAGAUAGUUCCAUCAGAUUCAGGAUUGUUAGAUACAGUCUCCCAUGUUAUCUUAAUUUCAGUAUCAGUCAUGUUAGCCAUCAGUAAAACAUAUAUUAGCAUACAGGAAUAGCUAUCAUGGACCUAUGAUUUCAAUUACUAUGUAUGCAUUUUUGUACUCUUACGUUCAUAUCAGUCAGGCAGUUAGCAUUGUUCAUGCAUGUAAACCCUAUUUAUAUUUAGCCUACCUCACUCGUAUACUCAGUACAUUACCUCAUACUAAUGCAUUUGUGCUAUGGUGCUUUCUUUUUAUGUUACACCAUAGAUUCGAGACACGAACUCCAGAUCAGCAGUUGCAGUAGCAUUUCCAGUCGCAGAGAUUCAGUGAGUCCUCUUCAUUUGAGGAUAAUAUGAUUUGAUUUAUUCAUUAUUAUUUUAGCCCAUUAUCAGUUUAUGGAGUUAGUUGGAGACAUGUUCUUUUAACUCCUUAUUCAGAUAGUACUUAGAGUCUUUCGGAUUCAGUAUUCGGACUUAUGUUAAGAUUUGAUUCAGUUUUCAGCUAUUUUGGGUAUCUUUCACCCAUAUUAUGUUUUGACAGAUUCAUUAUUCAGUUGAACCUUAUGGAUUACAUGUUCACGUUUUCCGCAUUAUUACGUUAUAUAUUUAGUGUAUAGUUACAGAUAUUAGUCAUGGGUUAGCUUGUGGUCCCUCGGGGUCAUGAGCACCGUGUAGCAUUCCAAUUCAGAAAAUUAGGGCAUUACAAAGGUCUUCAACCUCAGCACCCUUUUUAGCUAGUACCCCAGUACCCAAAUUUAAAAAUGAUAAUAAGGAUAGAGCACCCGGAUCUAAGUCCUGAGGUAGUGUUAAUAGUGCCCAUACGAACCCUCUAUGUCAGAAAUAAUGGCAGAAUCCAUCAGGGAAAGUAUAGAGUAGGCAGUGAUGUCUGAUUUAGGUAUGGCAGGCUAGGCUAUCAGAUUUAAGAGUGUCGUGUAGUUUCUCAGAAAGGUAGGGAUUUGUGCCAACAAGGCCAGUCCCAUCAGUCAUCAGUUUCAUCCGGUUGCCUAACUCAGUAGGGUGCCGCUUCCAGUGCUACCAGUAGUCAGCGUCUGAAUAGAUUUUAUGCUCUUCAGUCCUACCACGAUCAGGAAAAUUCUCCUGACGUAGUUAUAGGUAUGUUACAGGUCUUUCACUUACAUGUUUAUGCUUUACUAGCACCUGGAGCUUCUCUUUCUUUUGUAACUCCAUACAUAGCCGUCAAUUUCAGAGUCAGUCCUGAAACUCUAGAGAUGAUGGAUUUUGAUGUCAUUAUCAGUAUUCGAUUGGCUUCACUCAUGCUAAGCCUCAGUUGAUUGUAGAAAUAGAAUAGUUUAUUUUCCGUUCCCAACUGAACCAAUCCUUGAAUGGAGGGGUAGUACUACUGCACUUAAGGGUUGGUUGAUUUCAAACCUUAGAGUGAGAAAAAUGAUAUCCAAGGGAUGUGUCUAUUAUCUUAUGUGAGUCAAAGACUCUAGCUUAAAAACUCUUACUCUUUAGUCAGUUUCAGUAGUCAGGGAAUUUCCAAAUGUAUUCCCUGAAGAUCUUCCUAGAGUUUCUCUCGAAAGGGUAAUCGACUUUGAAAUAGACCUUCUUCCAGAUACUCAGUCUAUAUCUAUUCCACCAUACAGAAUGGCUCUAGUUGAACUCAAAAAAUUGAAAGAAUAGCUGAAGGAUCACCUAUAUAAGGGAUUCAUCAGGCCUAGCAUCUCCCCGUGGGGCGCACCAGUUCUAUUCGUGCAUAAGAAAUAUGGUUCUCUCAGAAUAUGCAUAGACUACCGUCAGUUGAACAAAGUCACAGUUAGGAAUAAAUAUCCACUUCCUAGAAUCGAUGACUUGUUUGACCAACUUCAGGGUGCCAACUACUUUUCCAAGAUAGACCUUAGAUUAGGCUAUCAUCAGCUCAAGGUCAGGGAAUGUGACAUUCUAAAAAUAGCUUUUCGAAUUUGGUAUGGUCACUUCAAAUUUUUAGUCAUAUCCUUUGGUCUCAUGAAUGCCCCAGCAGCCUUCAUAGACUUGAUGAACCCAGUGUUCAAGCAGUACUUGGACAUGUUCAUCAUAGUCUUCAUUGAUGACAUUCUUGUUUACUCCCGUAGCAAAAAUGAUCAUGCAGACCAUCUCAAAAUAUUGUUACAGACUUUUAGAGCUCACCAGUUGUUCGCUAAAUUUAGUAAAUGUAAAUUCUAGCUAAGAUCAGUAGCUUUCCUUGGCUAUAUUAUUUCCACUGAUGGCAUUAGAGUUGAUCCUCAAAAGACUAAGUCGGUGAGAAACUGGCCUAGACCUAUCUCUCUAUCAAAUAUAAAAAGUUUCUUGGGUUUAGCUGGCUAUUACCAUCGGUUUGUUGAAGGGUUCUCUUCAAUUGCAUCGACCAUGUCCAAAUUAACUCAAAAGAAAGUUAAGUUUUAGUGGUCAUAUUUCUGUGAGAAGAGUUUUCAGGAGUUGAAGAUUCAACUAACCUCAACCCAGUUCUUACCUUGCCCGAUAGUUCAGAUAGGUUUGUUAUGUAUUGUGAUACAUCCAGAGUAGGUUUGGGUUACAUUCUCAUGCAAAGAGGUAAGGUCAUAGCCUGUGCCUCCAGACAACUUAAAACCCAUGAGAAGAAUUACCCUACUCAUGAUCUUGACCUAGCAGCUGUAGUGUUUGCAUUAAAUAUUUGGAGGCAUUACUUGUACGGGGUGCAUAUUGAUGUGUUCACAGAUCACAAAAUCUUAUAGUAUGUGUGCUCUCAGAAAGACUUGAAUUUGCAUCAGAGGAUGUGGUUAGAGUUAUUGAAAGAUUAUAACAUGAGUGUUUUGUAUCAUCCGGGAAAGGCCAAUGUAGUGGCUGAUGCUCUCAGUAGAUUGUCUACGGGUAGUGUUGCUCAUGUAGAGGAUGGUAAGAAAAAUUUAGCUCAGGAAGUCCAUCAUUUUGCCCGAUUAGGUGUUCUCUUAGUUGAUUUAGCAGAAGGUAGUGUAUGUGUACAGAGUAGUUCAGAAAAAUCUCUAGUUUUUGAGGUAAAGGAAAAACGGGAUAUCUAGUUAAGUUGAAAGAAUUAGUUAGAGAUCAGAAAGUGGAGGUUUUCUCCCAAGGGGGAGAUGGUGUGCUGCGUUGUCAGGGUCAGCUAUGUGCGCCUAGUUUAGAUGACUUGAGGUAAUGAAUUCUUGCAGAAGCGCAUGGUGCGCGAUUGUAAUACCCUGUAUUUCCCUAGCAUAAUAUAAGUCCCAAUACAUUAGUAUUGACAUAUAAAAUUUUCGAAAUACCCAUUAUUUUUUAGUUUAGAGCCUGAGAUAUAAAAUUUGCCCAAAUCUGAUAACCGGGUAAGAAGUUAUGGCGAUUUUAAGUUUUGGUCAUUAAACACCGUCAUGUUGGUCACUAGUGCAUCGCGGAGCCAGUCUAAAUGACAAUUGUUAAUUUCCAGUAAGGACCGUGAUAUUGGCGCAUCACGCCAAGGACCCAAUUCACAUUUGGAAAUUUCCAGUGAGCCUGCGCAAUGAUGGCGCAUCGAUGAGGUGGAAAAAAUGGAAUUCCAAAGGCUUAGUGUGAUAGAUUCACAUCAUGCCAAUGGAAAAAUAAGGAUUGUCGAUUUCCAAUGGCCCGAAGUGAUUGCACCGCGUCGUGCUGGAGCCAAAAAUUGGGAUAUUCAGUUUCUAGGCUGAGUUUUUAAAUUCGAUUUGGGGUAUUUGGGUCUUUUUCCAUGGCCCUAAUCAACUUAAAACACGAGAUUUAACCCCUAAUUGACCUAAAUAACCAUCAUUUAUUCAAUUCCUCUCAAAAUUAAAUAUCCCCUUCUCAAGAACAAUAAACCCCAGAUCUUAAAUUCAAGAGCAAAUCUCAAGAACUCACCAUCAAUCCUCUCAAAUCCAUUCACCUAGGUAUGUUAAUUAUUCAUCCAUGGGUUCCUUGCACCCAUGGAGUCCAAGUAUCCAGUUUAAAUUAUAAAAUUAUGAUCUUUUCAAGUUAUCUUGAUUUUAAAAUUACAAUUAAAUGACAAAUUUCCAUGAAUCUUGUUCUAUACCAUGUUUUAGCAAAAUUGAUGUCUAUUACUACACUCAAUAUGUUUAAAUACUGUUUUCCACUUAUUUAAUUCACGAUUUGUGAUAAUGGUGUUGAAAUUGUGCUUUACUACAAGUUUUGGUCUAAUUCUUAUGCUUAAUGUACACCAUGCUUACCAAGUGUUUGAUAAAAUGUUUACAAGAAUGAAUAUUUAAUAAAAGCCUUCAUGCUAUGUCCUCCAAGCUUUAGUUUCAUUUUACUAUUAUUGUUUUGAGUCCUGUGGUUAUUGAAUACUUUAAAACCAUAACUGUUUAUUUAGUCUCAUUUUAGUAUCUUCAGAAUAACUUCAGAUUAUAUUAUGAGCAUUAUCAAAAAAGUCAGUUAAACUCAGAACCAUCUAGUAUUUUAGUGUCUUUCAAUUGGGAGAAGGAUUUAGCACCGAGCAAGUGUAGGGAUGGAGGCUUCCCCGUCAGAUAGGCAAAGUCACUAGUAGUAGUCCUUAAACUCCAGAAAUAUGUAGCCAGCGUAGGAUAUGAGAAGUCACCCAUCAGUUUAGGCUUGACUAUCUCGCAGGCGUCACCCGUGAGUUUAGGCUUGACACCCUUAGUCCUUCGGGACAGUACAUCAGUAUAGUGGUUCCACAUAGCCAGUAUUAGUACCCAUGACACGGUACUAACACCCUUCCAAUUGGGGUUAUAGGUUAGACCUCAAUUAACUCAGAUUAGGGAAUGUCAGUUAGAUGAUACCUCUCACAGUCUCAGUCAGAGUCUUAGUUACAGUCUUAGUCCAGUAAUCAGUUUAGACAUUCAGUCUUAGUGUUGUUUGACCAAAGCAUACAGAUAUCAGUUAUCUCAGUAUUUCAGUUUACAUAUUUUAUUCAAUUUAUGUUAUAUACUUGGUCAUGCAUCCUCAGCAUCUACAGUUUUCACAUACCUUCAGUAUUUACAAACUUUCAUGCAUUCUAUUUAGUACUCUAUGUUUUACAUGUAUAUUUAGAUAAUUAUUAUUCCUGUUCAUAAAAUCAUGCAUAUCAUCCUACCUUAUUUAGCAUAUGAUGUGCGAGCUUGACGCUAGCACUUUUAAGGCUUUUAACUCAGAAUAAUUAUAAAUUUUUAAGCAACUUUUGUUGUUUUUGAUUGUUUUCUCUGUGAUAGUGCAGGUGAGCUAAGAUGUAUGAAAACCAAUGACAAUUGAGUCAAAAAAGAUAGAUUUUGAGUAAGCAUCCAUGAAGAGUACAGUUGACGACUUGCCUGAUAGGUCGUCAAUUUUGUUAAUAGCUGUCAGGAAUACCGUCAGCCUAAGGUAGUAUGUAGGAGCUAUAGUGAAGAGUUGACGACAUCGUCUGAUAUGUCAUCAAUUUUCUGAUAAGCUGUCAUGCAUUAUCGUCAGCUGAAGGCAACAAACAUGGAAUUUGAAGAGGAGUUGACGACAUUUUCUUAUAAGUCGUCAGACUCCUGAUAAGUUGUCAUAUAUGUCAUCAUAAAUAUUGUCAGCUAAAGGAUCAAAAAUCUAAAUUUUUAGUUUUGAAUUUCCUUUAAAGUACAGAUAUAAAUAACAACUUUUAGGAUUUCAUUCGGUAUCUGGAACUUAUUUCAAAAGGCAAAGUCACCUCUUUUUGGGCCUCUUAACUGAGAAUUCAAUUUUCAGUUAUGUGAUUGGGUUUUGGGAACUUUUUAUUUAACUUAGAAGAGAAUCAACUUCAGACUUCAUCUUUUGUAAGUUUAAUUUCUCUAAAUGAGGAAUACAAUUGUUACUAUCUCUUUCUUUCUCAUGUGGAACUAAAACCCAUAACUAGGGUUGUGGGAUCUAUGAUUAUUCCUCUAUGGAUUUAAUAGUUGGUUAGGGUUUGAGUGAUUGUGGGAACAUCUUGAUAAUUUCUUUGUAAUGAUUGUUUUCUAUUGGUUGCAAAUAAUAGAUCUAGCCUUAUGUUUUCUUGCUCAAACUGAGAAAUAAACUAAAGGUAGUGAAUUAUUAAUGAGGAUUUGGGAAGGUUAAUUUCCAUCUAAUGAUUAAUAUUGUAACAAGAUUAAUCAACUUGAGAUAAAAUCAGUGUGAAUAGAAGGUUUUAUUAAGUUUGAGAGAAUUAGGGAGCACAACAUCUAGGUAGGUUGAGAAACACUUAGAUGGACUGUCGAUACUGAUAAUUUGGUGUUUUCCACAAGUCACGAGAAUCUAGUACUACAACUAUUAUUCAAUGAGGGGUUGAUAAUCAUAGUAAUCAAAACCCUAGUUUCUCUCUAUUAUUGAUUGAACCAUUGAAAUUUUAGCUUUGAGUUUUGAAACAAGUCAAAACUUUAAUCAUCGUUUGAUUGAUAAAACCCCCAAUUAAAGAAAACCAUAAAGAAAACCAUUAUCUAUCAGUCAUUUUUAUCGUAAAUAGACUUGAUUGACACCUUAUUCCCUGUGGGAUUUGACCCCAACCUAAUUGGGUUAUAUUUUUGACAAUGACCGCUUACUCUCUCGUAAGAGAGGUAUAAUUUGGGCGUAUCAAAUUUUGGCGCCGUUGUCGGGGAAUACGGUUGUCGAUUGAGUUUAUGUGUGUUAAUUGACUAUUAGUCAAGUUUCCUUAUUUUAUGUUUAUUUGUUGUUUUUGUUCGUUAUAGGCUCAUUAUUGUUGAUGCCAAGAACCAGAUGUUUAGGAGAACUAUUAUGAUCCUUAAAUCCUGAACCUCAUCUCAUUGAAAGAAUGUCUAACCAAUAGGAAGCUGAAAGAUUAGCCGCUUUGGCUAAUGCUUAUUAAAUUAACAAAAUGCAGAUAACCCAGGUUGGGUACCUAAUCUAGAUGAAGAGGACCUGGGAGAUGAUGAUUUCAUUGACCCAGCUAAUAAGAAGUGUGCAGCGGAAGUAGUUUCAGCUGUAAAUCUAAAUCGUCCAUUCAGAGGAAGACUAAACCUCCAAGCAAUGCAGUUUGAUAGUGACAAUGAUGAGGAUGAUUUAAAUGGAGCUGGAGUUACAGGGGCAAUCAUUCUACCACCACUAGCUCCUGAGGUGAAAUUCCACAUCACCAGUACUCUGAUCCAGUUACUAAAUUUGAAUAGAAUCUUCAGCAGAUUAUCUGGUGAUAAUUUAAAUCUACAUUUGGUGAAUUUUAUCAAUAUUUGUAAGUUAUUUGUUAAUCCUGAAGUGGGACAAAAUGAUAUUUAUUUAAGAUUGUUCCCACUGUCUUUGUCUAGAGAGGUAACUAUGUAGUUAAAUAAGCUAACUCCUGAUUCUAUAACAAAUUGGAGGGAAUUGAAAGGAGCUUUCCUAUAAAGAUUCUUUCCACCCUUCAGAAUGUUACAGUUAAGAGAUGAGAUCAGCAAUUUUAGGCAAUUGGCUAAUUAAGCUGUACAUGAUACUUGGGGGAGGUUUAAAAAGAAGUUGACUCAAUGCCCAAACCAUAAGAUGACUGAUGAACACUUGAUGGAAACAUUCUACAGAGCUUUGAACUCACUUACAAAGCCAAUAGUGGAUAAUGCUGCAGGAGGAGCUUUUAUGUUUCUCACCUUUACUGAGGCUGCGGAAAUGUUAGAAAGAAUGACUAAGAUAAGUAGAGCUUGGAAUACCAGAGAUUUAUGUGGUAGCAAGCAAUACUGGGUCUAGUGUAAUAUCAACAAAAUAGCAUAGCAGAGAAGAGAAGUGUGAUCAGGAUAUAGCUUACAUGAAAACCCAGAUGGAUCUGCUCAUGAAGGAUUUGCUAUCAGAGAAUAUAGAAAAGGUAAAAGCUGUGGGGUCCCACGGUAAGAAAGCUGAAUCAAACACCGAGGAAGAGGCUAACUACUUGCAUAACUAGGGGGUUUCUGGACUAGUGGUAAAGGAAACUAAGGUUGGAACCAUAAGCAGAUUGGAAGAAUAAAAGUGAUAGGAGUGGACUGUAUGUACUUCCUGGAAGUUGUGAUAAUACUGCCACCAGUUCAGGCAAAAUAUCCAUGGAGGACAUGAUGGAGAAACUAUUAAAGGGAGUUGAGGUGACCAAUUCUGAGGUGACUACUAUGAAGAGUGACAUAUCUUCCAUGAGUCAACUAGUAAAUUCACACUCAACUGCUAUUAAACAACUAGAGCAGCGGAUGAGCCAAUUAUCCACAACAUUCAACCAAAGAUAGAAUAGUACUCUACCAAGUGCUAUAAUUCAGAAUCCAAGGAUUGAUGGAUCAUGUUUGACUAUUACCACUAGGAGCGGUAAUAUGUUAUCUAGUCCAGGAUGGCGAGUAUCCUCUCAAACUGAUGUGGUCAAAAUAGAUUGGGAAAUGGUUGAUGAAUCUUCAGUGGUUCCUGUGGAGUUGGGAGGUUCAUAAAAGAAUAGUGCAGAAGUGGAACAACCACCUAAGCUGAAGCAUGUUAGUGAUGUAGAACAAGGCAUAAGAAAGGAGGUAAAAGUUGCUCCAGUUGAAAUUCCAAGGCCACCCCCCCCAUUUCCACGAUGUUUAAAAAAGAAAGAAGAUGAAGACAAGUUUAACAAAUUUAUUGCUAUGUUGAAGCAAUUGACAGUGAACGUGCCUUUAGUUGAAGCACUGGAACAGAUGACCGGAUAUGCUAAGUUUAUGAAAGAUCUAUUGAUAAAGAAAAGGACUGUGAGCUAUGAAAUAGUAGACAAUCUUCAUCAUUGCAGCGCCAUUGCUACAAGAUCUAUUAUUCGUAAGAAAGCUGAUCUGGGAGCAUUUACUGUCCCAUGUAUGAUUGGAUCGCUUAAGUUUGAAAGGGCCCUUUAUGAUCUCGGGGAAAAUAUAAAUCUUAUUCCAUUGGGGUUUUCAAGAAACUAGGUUUGAGAGAUCCUACUCCCACCAAUAUGUAGAUUCUAAUGGUGGAUAGAUCGGUGAAAAGGCCAAUUGGGAUUCUACAUGAUGUACUUGUAAAGGUGGCUGAUUUUAUAUUUCCUGACAACUUUGUAAUUCUUAACUGCGAAGUGGACUUUAAAGUACCCAUAAUUUUGGGUAGGCCGUUCUUAGCAAUUGGGAGAGUGUUAGUUGACCUAGAGUUGAAUGAGCUAAAAUUUAGGCUCAAUGGGAAAGAGGUUAGUUCUGAAGUGUGUAAAUCUGAAACAAAGGGAGAUGAGUGUCUUUUCGAUUGUUGAUGUAUUCUAUGAAGAUGAGCAAGGUGUACCAGUUAAGGAUAGGUCCGCUUAAAAACCAUAGCUGGUUUGGUUGAACUUGCAAGCAAGGAUGUGAGUGAAUUCAAAGUGGCUGGACUAGGAAUAAAGCAUUUUCUUGAUCCAACAAAUAAGAUACAAAUGAUAUCAUCAAUAUAUCUUGAUGAAGUCUGAAUGUCAAGAUAAUCAAGUCGUGCCGCGACGUUAAAUCAGGCGCUGCUUGGGAGGCAACCCAAGGCAUUUUGCUAUUUGUAUUUGUAUUAUGUGACUGACAUCAUAUCUCUGCACCUAUGGUG
Molecule: long non-coding RNA, 25535 nt
Filed under: Capsicum annuum
Lineage: Eukaryota; Viridiplantae; Streptophyta; Magnoliopsida; Solanales; Solanaceae
Description: long non-coding RNA (CANN_LNC006448)
Source: RNAcentral